Molecule: ribosomal RNA, 253 nt
Filed under: uncultured bacterium
Lineage: Bacteria
Description: partial 16S ribosomal RNA
Rfam family: Bacterial small subunit ribosomal RNA
Source: RNAcentral
UACGAAGGGGGCUAGCGUUGUUCGGAAUUACUGGGCGUAAAGCGUGCGCAGGCGGCUUCUCAAGUCAGGGGUGAAAGCCCAGAGCUCAACUCUGGAAUUGCCUUUGAGACUGAGUGGCUUGAGUACGGGAGAGGUGAGUGGAAUUCCCAGUGUAGAGGUGAAAUUCGUAGAUAUUGGGAAGAACACCGGUGGCGAAGGCGGCUCACUGGCCCGUAACUGACGCUCAUGCACGACAGCGUGGGGAGCAAACGGG